RNAcentral lists this ribosomal RNA (497 nucleotides) under uncultured bacterium. RNAcentral's name for it is "partial 16S ribosomal RNA". It matches the Rfam family "Bacterial small subunit ribosomal RNA", at positions 28 to 507 of the family's 1533-position model. The record is from RNAcentral.
GAUGAACGCUGGCGGCGUGCCUAAUACAUGCAAGUCGAGCGAACAGACGAGGAGCUUGCUCCUUUGACGUUAGCGGCGGACGGGUGAGUAACACGUGGAUAACCUACCUAUAAGACUGGGAUAACUUCGGGAAACCGGAGCUAAUACCGGAUAACAUGUUGAACCGCAUGGUUCAACAGUGAAAGACGGUCUUGCUGUCACUUAUAGAUGGAUCCGCGCCUCAUUAGCUAGUUGGUAAGGUAACGGCUUACCAAGGCAACGAUGCGUAGCCGACCUGAGAGGGUGAUCGGCUACACUGGAACUGAGACACGGUCCAGACUCCUACGGUAGGCAGCAGUAGGGAAUCUUCCGCAAAGGGGGAAAGCCUGACGGAGCAACGCCGCGUGAGUGAAGAAGGUCUUCUGAUCGUAAAACUCUGUUAUUAGGGAAGAACAAAUGUGUAAGUAACUAUGCACGUCUUGACGGUACCUAAUCAGAAAGCCACGGCUAACUACGUG